Molecule: long non-coding RNA, 565 nt
Organism: Leptopilina heterotoma
Lineage: Eukaryota; Metazoa; Arthropoda; Insecta; Hymenoptera; Figitidae
Exons: 4
Source: RefSeq, a predicted model, not a curated record
AAAUUAUUUACCUCAAUUUUAAAUAUUUUAAUAUUAUAAAAUGAAGUUUUGGAUACAUGAAGCAUUUUACGUUUUUUCAAUAUUUAUUAUUGUUAUCAAUGUCACAAAUGCUGUCAUUAGAAUGGGAGUUACAACUUAUGGACAUAUUAUGACUACGUUAAACCUCAUGGUGUAAUAGUGAAAAAUUUAAAUGAAACAAAAACUGAAAUUUUAUAUAUACAGAAGAAUUUAACGCCGACACAAAUCCCCUGAAACUUUAUUUAAAUUACUUUUUUGAAAAUACUGGAGGGAGAGAUAUCGUUAAAAUCGAUAAUUUAUGUGCUGACUAUAAGCAUGGCACUAACGAACAUGCGGCCAAGUUAUAUGUAUUAACAUCUUUUGCCAACACUGAUAAAUGUCCGAUAAAAAAAGGAACGAAAGUAAUAUUCACGAUAGGAAAACCUUACAAAUAUUCUAUCAAUAAUCGAGGUUGUGGAAUUACUUAUGGAUCAAUAGGUCUUUUUAAAAAGAACUCAAAACAAGACACAUCGUCAUUAGUUUUUUUAUUUCACUAUCGAGCGAACGU